GACGAACGCUGGCGGCGUGCUUCAUACAUGCAAGUCGAACGAGAAGCAGGAGCUUGCUCCUGUGGAAAGUGGCGGACGGGUGAGUAAUAUGUAGGAAAUCUGCCUUAGAGAGGGGGACAACAGAGGGAAACUUCUGCUAAUACCCCAUAUGAGCGUACCUGAAAUGGUAUUCUUGAAAACUACCGGUGCUCUAAGAUGAGCCUGCAUCUGAUUAGCUUGUUGGUGGGGUAAGUGGCCUACCAAGGCGACGAUCAGUAGCUGGUUUGAGAGGAUGAUCAGCCACAAUGGGACUGAGACACGGCCCAUACUCCUACGGGAGGCAG
This 323-nucleotide ribosomal RNA is filed under the name uncultured cyanobacterium. Its description in RNAcentral is "bacterial SSU rRNA". It matches the Rfam family "Bacterial small subunit ribosomal RNA", at positions 28 to 351 of the family's 1533-position model. Lineage: Bacteria; Bacillati; Cyanobacteriota. The record is from RNAcentral.